AGCAGCCGCGGUAAUUCCAGCUCCAAUAGCGUAUAUUAAAGUUGUUGCAGUUAAAAGCUCGUAGUUGAAUUUCGGGAUCAAUAUUUCGGUCAUGCCGUUGGUAUGCACUGUUAUCAUUGAUUUCUCACCUUCUAAAGAACCGUAAUGCCAUUAAUUUGGUGUUACGGGGAAUUAGGACUGUUACCUUGAAAAAUUAGAGUGUUUAAAGCAGGCUCACGCUUGAAUACAUUAGCAUGGAAUAAUGAAAUAGGACAUCCGAUUCUAUUUGUUGGUUUCUAGGAUCGAUGCAAUGAUUAAUAGGGAUAGUUGGGGCAUUAGUAUUCAAUUGUCAGAGGUGAAAUUCUUGGAUUUAUUGAAGACUAACUACUGCGAAAGCAUUUGCCAAGGAUGUUUUCAUUAAUCAAGAACGAAAGUUAGGGAUCGAAGACGAUCAGAUACCGUCGUAGUCUUAACCAUAAACUAUAGCGACUAGGGAUCGGAUGAUGUUAAUUUUAAUGACUCAUUC
RNAcentral lists this ribosomal RNA (505 nucleotides) under uncultured Glomus. Its description in RNAcentral is "SSU rRNA". It matches the Rfam family "Eukaryotic small subunit ribosomal RNA", at positions 569 to 1081 of the family's 1831-position model. Lineage: Eukaryota; Fungi; Glomeromycota; Glomeromycetes; Glomerales; Glomeraceae. The record is from RNAcentral.